GACGAACGCUGGCGGCGUGCUUAACACAUGCAAGUCGAGCGGUAAGGCCCUUUCGGGGGUACACGAGCGGCGAACGGGUGAGUAACACGUGGGUGACCUGCCCUCAGCUCUGGGAUAAGCCUGGGAAACCGGGUCUAAUACUGGAUAUGACUCCAUGACGCAUGUUGUGGGGUGGAAAGCCUUGUGCGGCUGAGGAUGGGCCCGCGGCCUAUCAGCUUGUUGGUGGGGUGANGGCCUACCAAGGCGACGACGGGUAGCCGGCCUGAGAGGACGAUCAGCCACACUGGCACUGCGACGCGGGCCAGACUCCUACGGGAGGCAGCAGUAAGGAAUAUUGCGCAAUGGGCGAAAGCCUGACGCAGCGACGCCGCGUGGGGGAGUGAAGGUCUUCGGAUUGUAAACCCCUUUCGGAGGGAAAAUGGAACGAGCAAUCGUUCGGAUGGUACCUCCAGAAGCAGCCACGGCUAACUUCGUGCCAGCAGCCG
Molecule: ribosomal RNA, 485 nt
Filed under: uncultured bacterium
Lineage: Bacteria
Description: bacterial SSU rRNA
Rfam family: Bacterial small subunit ribosomal RNA
Source: RNAcentral